Long non-coding RNA from Nymphaea colorata (pocket water lily), 1110 nucleotides. RefSeq lists it as uncharacterized. Lineage: Eukaryota; Viridiplantae; Streptophyta; Magnoliopsida; Nymphaeales; Nymphaeaceae. The record is from RefSeq and is a predicted model, not a curated record. The transcript is spliced from 2 exons.
UAUGGCUAUUAAUUUUCGAAAAUGCUUACCAAUCCCACAUGAUCCCAAUUCGAAUGAGAUCAAACACGGAAGAGAUGCAUAUGAAUAUUAAGAUCUUAUGGUCAUCUAGUUCCCAUGCCGCAGUGCAACGCCUGGUUAAUCGGUGGAACUAGAGAUCCGUGACCUUCAGAUUGGAAAGGACGAUCUCGAAUCCCCAUUUUCCGUGGGGGAGAGGGAUCCGAGAUGGCGCAUCAGAUGAGAUGUUUGUUAUUGCUUUUACCAGCGGACUACCGUCCGACCUUGCGGUCAAGGAGCAUGUUUGUGCAAUCCGGGGGUUAGGCGUGCCGUGUCGUCCAAAUCAAAGCGGUUGACCUGCACGGACUCAAGAGCCCGAUCCGGAUCCAUCUUCCUGCCGGAUCUUCCGUCCUCCUCCGGCGAAUGAAGCAGGAGAUCGCUCUCCCGGGAGCUCAUGGAACGAAUUCAAGAGGAUGAAGGAGAAAUAAGGAGUGCUGGAUCCAGGAAGGACUUGUUCUGCUCGAUGUCAGGAGACGCGGUUUCCUUCAUCCCUUCGGUUUUCUUUGGAUCCUGAGGCAAGAAAAGCAAACGCACUCGCUCAAGCAGACGUUACACUAAUUAUUUAUUGUGGUUUUCGUGUGCCUAUUUUUUAAUGCUUUCGAUCAGGGGAGGAGCGAAAGAAAGGAGAGAUGUGGAGCCGAUCGAGAGAUAAAAGAAUUCAAAACAGGAAAACAGGGAAUUCUUUCGGCAAUUGCGGCGUCCCCAUUUUUGUUCGCAUUAAUUGCAGAAUUUCCUUGAGGCUUCGUCUCCCGGGCGGGACAGCAGAGGCGCGAGAAAAUCUACCCGAAGCAAGGGUGAUUUUGACCGAUUUCGUCUUGCUUUUAAUGAAUUUCUGGUAAAAAUAAAUGACGUUAAAUUUCGCAGUAGGUGAAGAAUUUGAUCCGAAUGAUGACGUUCCCCUCUCCCUUUUUUUAUUGUUUUAGAAACUUCAUUUCCAAGAGAUCAGCAGAAAUAUACAACUUUUUUUUCUCCUCCGAUCGGUUGUUUUUUUUUCUGACUAUAAUUUGAGGACUUGUUCGAGAUUUUAAGCUAACCAGUAAAUUUCUGGUUUUAUCA